Malurus melanocephalus (red-backed fairy wren) is the source of this 1197-nucleotide long non-coding RNA. RefSeq lists it as uncharacterized. The record is from RefSeq and is a predicted model, not a curated record. The transcript is spliced from 3 exons. NCBI's taxonomy places the organism in Eukaryota, Metazoa, Chordata, Aves, Passeriformes, Maluridae.
UAGGGAGGCAGCCCUGCAGUUGAUGGAACAGGAGCAGGCUUACAUGACAUGCUAUAGCCAGAAGAUGCAAUUGCAGCUAUGAAACAGUUCUGCAGCUGUGAAACAGGCAAAAGGGAUCUCAAAAAGGCAGAGCAAUAUGAAAGGAAAGCUUUUGCCCAGAGAAGCUGCUUGUAACCUCUCUGCAGCCAGAAUAUAGCUAAUAAAUAAUUCUAUGUCACCACCUACUGGUAAACCUCCUUGUGUGGCACUUGUGUGUUGUGUUCUACAGCAGCCACUGAAUUCGAAUCUUUUUCCUUUUCCAUUGGGUCUACACAUGAACACAGGAAUCAUUCUCUGAGAGCAUCCCUGGUGGAUUUCUGAAAGCCUGUUGCCUAGGCAAAGAUCAGAGAUCUACCUCUUACAGCCUCGCUUUGCAGUUGAAAAGACAAACUACAACUAGAAAGAAAAAUGAAAACAGAAAAACAAGAAGAACAUGGUAAUGUAGGAAGAAGAAACUGAAGGAUGAGGGGUAGGUAGAUGUUGCAAAGAACAGGAAGGUAAGGACAAAACAGAAGGUAAAAGACAAGCAUUUAAACAGCUAGUAAGUUUACAAAUGGGGACAAUUUAUUGCUUUUCUUAACAAACAGACAAACACUGGUUUGAAUGUUAGUUAUACAGCUUACGACUGAUCUCAUACGUUGAACAGGUUUGGUGUGGUCUGAAAUGCACUGGCAGACUGCCAAAAACCACUCCUGAGCUACAGGAAGCAUUUGACUUGCUGAGUCAGCGUGGAGGCAGCUCCCCAGAAAAGUAAGGGCACUGUGCCAACACCAACACAUGCUUUGCAUGAGCCAUCUUCUGAUUGCUCACAGCAAUUCAAGUUCCCAUGACAGUCUCCCCCAAAAUUUUUGGCUCGGUCAAAAGACUUCCAGUGGUGACAAAUAUAAAAGGGAAAUUCUAAUUAUAACUGUUCAGUGGUGGUAAUUUCUGACUGAGGAAUGAUCUGGUGUGGAGGGCAAGGAGGGGUUAAACCAUCUGAAAGCAGGAAUGCCAGAAACAGAACAGACUCCUUCCAAGGAAGUGAAGUUUCCCUUGGCGAUAAGAAACAGUGUCAGUUUUGUCUUGCAGCCAUUCUGGAKUGAGGGUGCUCAGAGAGCCAAGCUCAUGGCAAACUCUGGGCAGCAGAGCUGGKUGAGGGAUGGAUCCACAGAUUCAGRU